RNAcentral lists this long non-coding RNA (1880 nucleotides) under Homo sapiens (human). Its description in RNAcentral is "non-protein coding lnc-FOXQ1-23:1". Lineage: Eukaryota; Metazoa; Chordata; Mammalia; Primates; Hominidae. The record is from RNAcentral.
UGCAUACGUAUCCCAGAACUGAAAGUAAAAUUAAAAAAAGAAAAAGAAGAUAAUUUUUAUGCCAAAGUAACAUAAAAACAACUACCCAGUGUCAGGUGUUUUGUUACAGCAGCCUGAGUGAACUAAGAGAGUGCCCUUUCCUGUAUAAGGGGUGGCUGCAGGGCCCUCCAGGUCAUGGGAAACUUGUUAAUUGUUUAUUUAAUUAAAUUUUUUAGUCUUCAUUUAAACAUCAUGUAGUGCGGAUGCACAGACACACACUCACACACUUAAUUACAAUUGUGAGACAAAUGAAAUAAUAAAGGAAAGUUCUUAGCAAACUCUUCGUGCAUUAUUAGUGCUCAAUAAAUGCUAAAUACUAUGAUUAAUAAUACAUUUUUGUUAUUAACUUGAACGGAAUGUUCGUUAGGAAGGACUACACUGGCUUCUUACAGCCAACUGCAGCUUCUUUGUGUGAGUGUUGCUUCUUGAGCUUUAUUAAGUUUUUGUGCCAGUGUACAAAUGGCACAUGUGAGUCUCCACGAAACUAGUUCAUUUUCCAAUUCAUAGCUAGUGUUGUUCCAAUACUGACGCUUAUAAUAAAAGUGUUAAGUAAAUCACCAUUAACCAUUGCCUUAAACAACUGAAUUGAGAAAAGUUUCAUUAAUUUCUCAUUAUUCUUCUUUUACUGUGCACAUGAGCAUGUGAUUUUAAGCUUUCAUAAUAUGCGUGUAUUGUUUAGUAUUACAGACAUUCACAGCUGAAAAGCAACUCAGAGGUUACUUAGUGAGACCUAAUUGUAUUAACUUUACAUAUGAAGAAAUGGAAUCAAGAUGAAAACAUCUUCAAUGGUUUACCCAAGAUUGCAUUGUAUCUCAUGUCAUAAAUUAAUCCAAUCUUUAAAACCCAUCAUUUCUUUUACCCAUCCAUUCAUUUACUAGGUAAGUAUUUGUUGUGCAUCUCCUGUGUGCUAAGCAUCACGCUCUACCGUGGGAAUACAACGAUUAAGACCCAGUCCCCUGCCCACGGAGAGCCCUGUGCGUUUAUGGAUAAGACAGGCAAGAUGGCAGGCAAUGACAGAGUCUUGAGAUAAAGUCACAUGGCUACACCUGGCUGUUCUCUAGACGCCUCAGAAAGAGGAAAUGAUUCAGGCAUUGAGCGUUCUGGGAAGGACUCAUCUGAUUUUUAAUACUUCAUUAUUAAAAUGUUAAGCAACAGAAACAUGCUUUGACUUAGGGAGAUCCAAAAAACCUACAUUUGAUUUCAAAUUCUGCUACAUGCUUGCUCUAUGACCUUAAACAAAUGACUUAGCCUUUCGGAGUUUCCUUAUCUUUAAAUGGGGAUAAUAAUAUGAACCCCAGGAUAUUUGACAAAAUUAUAUAGUAAAUACAGAAUUCUAAGUACUGAAUAAGUAAUUGUUGCUAUUCCAUACACUUAUUUAAAACUUAGCCUCUUGGGAAAAGCAUAUGGUAAAACUCAGGCUUCUUCUACACCCGUGUCUUUCAGGAUGGGGGAGAAAAUGGCAGAGGGGCUCAAACACAAGGCUUAGCCCCCACCUAUUCUGUGCUCUUUCCACCCAAACACAUGGAAUCAAGCUGCCACGGAAGCAGAAGCCUGGGGAGAACAGGAAACAAAAACGCAGAGAUACUGAGUUCACGAGUGACUGCAGUGUUAGAAGAGGUGUGGGGCUGAAUGGGAGUGUGGGGACAUGUUAGAAAAUCGCUCUCAGAGGAGUUACCACAAAGAAAAGCUUUCUUUCUGAUUUUUACAUCCCAUCACUCAAAUUACUGUAACCUACAAAAUUCAUGAAUAUGCACUAGUUCCCCAUUGCACUAGGUAUUUGGUGGGGCAUGAAUUCAGAUUCUGAGAGGUGAAUAAGUCCAACAACACCUUGACUUCUUAAA